Molecule: ribosomal RNA, 253 nt
Filed under: uncultured bacterium
Lineage: Bacteria
Description: partial 16S ribosomal RNA
Rfam family: Bacterial small subunit ribosomal RNA
Source: RNAcentral
UACGUAGGGUGCAAGCGUUGUCCGGAAUUAUUGGGCGUAAAGAGCUCGUAGGCGGUCAGUCGCGUCUGCUGUGAAAACUCGGGGCUUAACUCCGGGCCUGCAGUGGGUACGGGCUGACUAGAGUGCGGUAGGGGAGACUGGAAUUCCCGGUGUAGCGGUGAAAUGCGCAGAUAUCGGGAGGAACACCGGUGGCGAAGGCGGUUCUCUGGGCCUUACCUGACGCUGAGGAGCGAAAGCGUGGGGAGCGAACAGG